GGUCCCGGGUGUCCUGGAUCCUAUCCCAGAUGUCUUCAGGCAAGAGACGGGGGUACACCCUGAUUUGGUCGCCAGCCAAUCACAGGAAACAUAAAUAAUAAACAGCCAGCCAUUCACACCUUCAGCCAAUUUAGUCCUCAACUUACCUACCAUGGAUGUUUUUGGAAUGUGGGAAGAAACCACAGUACCCAGAGGAACCCCACGCAGGCACAGGAAGGACAUGCAAUCUCUACUCUGGCGAGGCCGGAUUUGAACCUGGGCUCUUAGAACUGCGAGGCAGAUGUGCUAAACAGCAGAGCGGUACCUGCCAAGGAAAGCACCAAGUUAAACGUCAAGCCCGAGCCACAACUCAGUCAGAAAAAAAGCCAAGCCGACAACGUGCAUGUGGAGGUGCUGCAUCAAAAUGGCUUGUGUUCCCCCUGAAAUUAAGCAGCCAAGAGCAGUGACAGCACUCCACUCAUAACAGAUCGGUGAGAUUAUGGAUCGUCCUCUUCUGGACAGUGACGUCUCUAUCCAGACUGUCUUUGCGCCGCAUUUGGAGGGAUCGAGAAGAGCCCCGUUGAUUGGGUGCGCAUCAGCAGCUGCCAUAAAGCCGGCCAAUCACGGAGGUGUGGCCCGCGAGUGGCCGUGACAGGACGUACGCAGGGUGAUGCAGUCGCAGUGAGAUGGGACGCAAUUUAUUGGAUUAACCCCCAGCAUGACACACACAGAAAGUAGAUGCGCACACACAAACACACACACAAACUUUAACACUCACAUUUUCGAGUGUGCAAUGAAUUAAUUACAACUACAGCAAGUGUGUACGGGGAGCUAAUGGGAAGUGACAGGAGCUGCGGCGAUGUCCUCAUCACUGCAGGCAUGCUGCGUUUCUUUCGCCCCCCCAAGCCCCCCCAACCCACCGUCACGACCACCUCUCCUGCCAGACCCCUCCCUCUUCCUGCAAUCACCCUGUUCAGCUUGACAUUUCUUUGUACUUUGGCCACUUGUCACUCUUUUAGCCGCCUGUAAGCACGCCAUGCGUAUUGGGGGAACAGCAUGAGUAUGCAGGCAGGAAGCGGCUUCUGCAAGAUGGAAACAAUUAAGUUCGAUGUGGGCUUAUUGAUUUAAUUUAGACAGAAAAUGGUUACAGUGUGACUGUUAGUGUUGUCACAGCACAAACAUUUGAAAAAUAUAUAAAAUGUCCAUGUAUAGAUGUGAACUCAUGUUUUCAAUAAUCCUUGGUUGUAAUGUCUUCUUAGGUAAACCUCAAAAUAUUUAAAGAAAAUGAUCUUUCAAUCUUACCUUUUCCUAACUUUUAAAUGCAAAAGAGUUUAAAAAAAGAAGUUCUUAUUCAGCAUUUAUACUUUGUCCAAGGAAAGAAAUCCUGUUUUUGCCUGAUUCAAGUGUUCUUGUCACCAGCAACUGCCUAAACCUGUAAUUUUUUACGCCUUCGUUGCUCGUUGCGGCCGCACAUUUUUUACGUGUUGAACUUUCAUAUAGCUAAAAAGAAAAACAUUUACACAUUUAGUGGGUCUGUGAUCGGAUGACGAAUGACACGUUAGAGACCAAUCACCACGAAUAGAUUGGGAUCUCUCUCUCUAUCACGCAGGUCGUGAUACUGCCGAUGUAGGAUUUUUAACAUAUUAUACAGUAUAUCGGACAUACUGAUAUAAUGAUGAUCUUGUCUCGCUUAACUCACAAAUGAUACUUGAAUGAAAAUUAUUGUACUUUCUGCCAUUUAAUGGAAGAACUUCUAAUUGUUUGGUUUGUCACCAUA
Molecule: long non-coding RNA, 1756 nt
Organism: Syngnathoides biaculeatus (alligator pipefish)
Lineage: Eukaryota; Metazoa; Chordata; Actinopteri; Syngnathiformes; Syngnathidae
Exons: 5
Source: RefSeq, a predicted model, not a curated record